Molecule: ribosomal RNA, 1276 nt
Filed under: Pediococcus pentosaceus
Lineage: Bacteria; Bacillati; Bacillota; Bacilli; Lactobacillales; Lactobacillaceae
Description: bacterial SSU rRNA
Rfam family: Bacterial small subunit ribosomal RNA
Source: RNAcentral
UGGCCCCGAGAGGGGGGGGCCUCCUACAUGCAGUCGAACGAACUUCCGUUAAUUGAUUAUGACGUACUUGUACUGAUUGAGAUUUUAACACGAAGUGAGUGGCGAACGGGUGAGUAACACGUGGGUAACCUGCCCAGAAGUAGGGGAUAACACCUGGAAACAGAUGCUAAUACCGUAUAACAGAGAAAACCGCAUGGUUUUCUUUUAAAAGAUGGCUCUGCUAUCACUUCUGGAUGGACCCGCGGCGUAUUAGCUAGUUGGUGAGGUAAAGGCUCACCAAGGCAGUGAUACGUAGCCGACCUGAGAGGGUAAUCGGCCACAUUGGGACUGAGACACGGCCCAGACUCCUACGGGAGGCAGCAGUAGGGAAUCUUCCACAAUGGACGCAAGUCUGAUGGAGCAACGCCGCGUGAGUGAAGAAGGGUUUCGGCUCGUAAAGCUCUGUUGUUAAAGAAGAACGUGGGUAAGAGUAACUGUUUACCCAGUGACGGUAUUUAACCAGAAAGCCACGGCUAACUACGUGCCAGCAGCCGCGGUAAUACGUAGGUGGCAAGCGUUAUCCGGAUUUAUUGGGCGUAAAGCGAGCGCAGGCGGUCUUUUAAGUCUAAUGUGAAAGCCUUCGGCUCAACCGAAGAAGUGCAUUGGAAACUGGGAGACUUGAGUGCAGAAGAGGACAGUGGAACUCCAUGUGUAGCGGUGAAAUGCGUAGAUAUAUGGAAGAACACCAGUGGCGAAGGCGGCUGUCUGGUCUGCAACUGACGCUGAGGCUCGAAAGCAUGGGUAGCGAACAGGAUUAGAUACCCUGGUAGUCCAUGCCGUAAACGAUGAUUACUAAGUGUUGGAGGGUUUCCGCCCUUCAGUGCUGCAGCUAACGCAUUAAGUAAUCCGCCUGGGGAGUACGACCGCAAGUUGAAACUCAAAGAAUUGACGGGGGCCCGCACAAGCGGUGGAGCAUGUGGUUUAAUUCGAAGCUACGCGAAGAACCUUACCAGGUCUUGACAUCUUCUGACAUUCUAAGAGAUUAGAGGUUCCCUUUGGGGACAGAAUGACAGGGGUGCAUGGUUGUCGUCAGCUCGUGUCGUGAGAUGUGGGUAAGUCCCCGCAACGAACCCAACCUUAUUACUAGUUGCAGCAUUUAGUUGGCCCCUCCUAGUGAGACUGCCGGUGACAAACCGGGAGAGGGGGACGACGUCAAUCCUCAUGUCCUUUUUGACUGACUACCACGGCCUUACAUGCAUGGUAAACGAGUCUCGAUACCGCCAGAGCUUAGCAUAAU